RNAcentral lists this long non-coding RNA (1302 nucleotides) under Junco hyemalis (dark-eyed junco). RNAcentral's name for it is "lncRNA (ENSJHYG00000005374.1)". The record is from RNAcentral. Lineage: Eukaryota; Metazoa; Chordata; Aves; Passeriformes; Passerellidae.
CCAGCCUUGUGUAUUGCAGUGAGCUUUCACCUCAGGGAAAUUUCUGUUGCUGCAUCUCUGUUUCCUGUCUCUUGCCUCUAUCAACAUUUCAUCUCACCCCAUCCGUGCAGAGUAGUUACAGUCCACUUGAACUGUCAAAGGAAAUCUGAACCCAGUAGAGGUAUUCAUAGGAGGGAUGAAGUUUGUAACAGGAAAAUCAGUUGACCAUUAUGAAAAGCUCAAACACAUCCUCCAUGGUAUUUAGUCCCCUUCUAUUCAAAGUACAGUAGUCAGAACAAACUUACUGAUAUUCCAUUCCACUUUCUUUCAGAAGAUCUUCAACCUUAAAAGUCUUCUCAGCUUCAACUCGGAAAUCAACUUGCAUUUUUGGCCUUACCAGUGUGACAGAGUCUGGCUGCCAAAAGUCAACCUGAAAGAAGAGCAAAUGAAGACAUAAACAACUUCUUUCAUUUUUUUCUCAGUUUUUUGCCUACAAAUGUUAGAGAGAAAUUAACUCAACAUCAGGUGUGAACUGUAUGAAUAUUUUACAUAAAUCAUCUGAAAAAGACUGUUGUCUGUAAGAGGGCUUUUAAAAGAGAUCACUGAAGUUGAUCUGAGGAGCCUGUGCCUUUGAAGAUGUUUCAUUCCAAGUAGACAAACAACAGUGUUAUUACUACUUCAGUUAUUUUUGCUGAAGUAAGCAUCCAGGCCUCUGGAUUUAGUGCUCUGUUGAAGGCCAAUGGAAACAGAGAUGAUUUGCCAGCCCGAUGCCUUUUCACCCUUUCAUCUCACAAAGUGUAUUUUCUGAAUUAGGUAAAUUGCUGAAACUUCUCUCAUGUUUGAAGAAACUGGUAUUUGUUAUCAAUGAGGAAAAUGAGAACAGGUCAUGAUGUUCAAUAUCUCCCUGUCACUGAAAAACAAGCUUCUGGAACUUGGACUAAGAGAUUUUUGUCAUGAAACAAAAAUUACUACUUUGGCUUGCUGGAAAUAAUUCUGGAUCAAGACAAGGAUUUAUGCAGAAUAAAAGCCACAAAAGAAAGGAAGAACCUGCUUGUAUCUUCUCCUCACACACCUGCUAAGAAAGCAAAUCCUGCUUUAGUCAUUGAUGCCACUUUGGGCAUUCUGCUGUAGUUGCACAGGAGUGUCUAGUGGAGCCUUCCACUUAAAUGACUGUUCUACUUUUCCUUUGGAACCAAAGAACCACAGAAAUUAAUGGGAACACACAUUGGAAGCAAGAGGUAUUCCAGACCUACUAACAAAAGCAGCAUAAUGAAAACUGAAGACCUUGAAUAACAAUAAAAUAACCGAGUUGGUAAAAACCCA